GAAGUCACUACAGAGCUGUGAGACUGAAAACAAGUAUAUUGUAGUUUUCUUAGCAGAAGCUCAGCUAAAUAAAAUUCAGGAGUCAGAGAAGGAGAAUAUUCCCAGACAAGGGAUUCCAGCAAUGCAGGAACAAUGGAACUAAAGUCUUCUCUAGACAGGAACCAGAAUAAACAGUAUAGCCAACUGCAAGCUGGAGCUCACUAGACAGGUCCUGGCCGGGAUCCAGCUGCGGGCACCAUAGGGAUCUAUGUCUCGAGCUGAAGCACCCAGUGCUUCCUGCUCCGUGGACAGUGAGGCUGGCGACGCGCAAGCGGUGUAUCGCCAUAGCAACAUGACGUCAGGAGCGGAAGCGGAAAGGAGCGUGAAGGCCGUGAACGGGAACCAUGUGUGCGGCGGCGGUGAUCGGCGUGGACCUUCACAGAUCCAAAACCCGCAAGAGUGAUUUUGGCAAAACCAAUACAGAUCCAAAACACGAAGGAGAUAGAGAUCCAAAGCCAAAACCCAAGAUCCAAGAUUUGGGCCAGCGCACAUCUCAAGUUUAAUAUGAACCUUGACCAGCGCACAGAAGGGCGCAUGCUCUUCCUGGCUGUGAAUUUCAGCUUCAGUGGCUACAUUUCCAGUCUAUGACUUUCCCUCCUGCACAUGCUCCUGUCUCUGAGCUUGCACUGUGCCCUGUAUGAAGCAGUUUCCAGAUCCGUAAUGAUGCAGAAUGAGGCCUGUUACAGAGAAAGUGUCUCCAGGAAGGAGUGGAAUCAGAUACCUAUGCUUAGACCUGAAAGAAACCAGUCAUUUGGAAAGUUUUAUUAUAAAGGGCACUGGACAUGUUUGAUAUCCCUGUAAGGGGUUUAUGUAUCAAGUAGUGAAAAGAGUGGAGAAGU
Pseudophryne corroboree (corroboree frog) is the source of this 878-nucleotide long non-coding RNA. RefSeq lists it as uncharacterized. The transcript is spliced from 3 exons. NCBI's taxonomy places the organism in Eukaryota, Metazoa, Chordata, Amphibia, Anura, Myobatrachidae. The record is from RefSeq and is a predicted model, not a curated record.